Mesocricetus auratus (golden hamster) is the source of this 773-nucleotide long non-coding RNA. RefSeq lists it as uncharacterized. Lineage: Eukaryota; Metazoa; Chordata; Mammalia; Rodentia; Cricetidae. The record is from RefSeq and is a predicted model, not a curated record. The transcript has 3 exons.
UGUGGAUUUUGGCUCCGUCAGUAAUCUCAACCCACAGAAGCAGAACCAAGGCCCCUCUUUGAUGACCCUGCCUUUCCUGCCACACUCAGUGACUGGGAUUCUGUGCACUGACGCAUCCUGGAAGUUAACAUAAAAGCCCCAAACUGAACGGUGGCUUUCUAGAAGCCCAGGUCAACUGACCAGACACUAUUUUCCUAGAAUACCUUUAACUGCACUUUUUUCAAACAACAACCAAAUGGAAACCCAAGCUUUAUUUGCUUGUCCACUUAAGGAAAGAUGAAGCUGUGUUUCAGGAUACUGGGUUACAGGUACUCACCACCAUCACCAUUCCUGGAAAUCUGUUUCACUUUAUAACCCAAUGCAAGCAGGAGAUACUGUAGUUGGAACUAUUUAGAUAAUAAAGCUGCCAUCUACGCACUGGUUCAUUCAGCAAACAACUCUUAACUCACGGGCAACCCUGUGCCCAGCGUGGUCCUGAAACUUGUCUCUGGUAUUUAGAAGUGCCGCUGCUUACGAGGACUGUUGCCAGCUUGCUCCACUAUGAAUUGAGCCCUAGCAACACGAAUAGCGCAUGUGACAGUAAGAUGUGAUCUGAUGGAAAGCCUGCCUUUUACCACAGUGUUCUUGUCUGCCAUUUAAUAUACGGAAGAGAACGUCCAAGUGUGUGUCAGUGAACGCUAAAUCAUUUGUGAUGAGAGUCUAGUGUAUUUUCUCAAACCUAAUAAAGAAUACGACCCUUCUUUCAACCAAAUAAAUGUAAUUAGUGGUUUAAA